CCAAGUGCUCAGCUGGUAAAGACAAGGUUUCCCAAAAAUUUUCAUAAUUUUUGGAACUAAACUUUUAUUUCUAAAAUCAAAUAGACCUUCUAAGAGCAUAUUUUAAUCCCCUGAAAUUUGGUAUCUGCUGUAAAAAUCCUAAAUCUACUUUUACUCAGGGAAGAAGCUUCAGUGCCAUACACAGCUUACGGGGCUCGCAUGAAAAUGCUCAGGGAAGAAGCACGCUGGUUGGUCGACGGUGAGGCUGUCCAUGGUACCGAUCUGCGGUGGCGCGACCCUGUUCCAAGCAGCAGACCACGGUAGAGUUCAAAAGCUGAGUUGCAUGAGCUUCACUGGUCCAAGGAGAGCAUGGGACACUCACCACACGACUGAGAAAGCUCUCGAGGAACCUGGGCCGCGGUGAGGGGGAGGGUCAGCUGGGCGUGGUCACCAAACUGCAGAGAUGGCACACAGCUCCGGGGCAGACCGGACUUGGUGAUGGAAAGGGGUUACUCAGACCUGAAAACCAGAACUCCUCCUCUCACGCGAUGGACACGAGCUCGAGUUCAAGGGCAGGGGAAAGACUCC
This 567-nucleotide long non-coding RNA is filed under the name Zea mays. RNAcentral's name for it is "long non-coding RNA (ZMAY_LNC002254)". The record is from RNAcentral. Lineage: Eukaryota; Viridiplantae; Streptophyta; Magnoliopsida; Poales; Poaceae.